UAGUAGUUAUAUUCUUGUACAUAGGAGCAGUAUUUUAAUAUUUUUUAUUGAGCAGUGGCAAAUCUCAUAAGAAAAUAUGGAUUGAUGUUGAUGCCAAGUUUGAUGAAUGGAAUCACUGUGAUAACAACUAAUAAUAAUAAAGUUUCUAUAAAAAUCCAGCAAUACAUUUAUGUAUCAUAAAAAUGCAGUCAAAGGGUUAACCUUCAGGGAAUCCCUCCACACAUCUUGCAUUCAGGGUACAUGUCUGGCUGAAGUCCUGGGCUGUAAGAUGAACCCUCUGGGGGAUAAUGGGCGUUCUAGGCCGGGUGAUUGCCAGUGGGUAAACACAGACUGAACCACAGGGCACACAGGAGAACAGCAGCGACUGUUCUCACCUCAAUGGAGACUUCUUCUCCACUCGCUGCCCCUGUUUACCAAACUGCUGCCUGUUCCGAUCCUCCUCCGGUAGCAUAAACUCCCAACACGCAGAUCUGCACGCAAACGUUCCAGAAAUAGGAUUUGGAAAAGACAGAUCACUGUAAUGUUAUAAGAUAUCAGGGGUAUACAAGGAGUAUGACCAGACGUUGUCACAGCUUCCGUCCGUGUACUAGGCAUGUAAUCCCAGGCAAUCCUAUGUCCAGCGCAACCCCCAACAUGAACUCUUGUUCUCCGAACUCCCAGAGAAUUGAAUGGAGCAUGCUGGGAGUGGUAGUUUCACAACACUGAGUGCCGGAGGUUGUUGAAUCUAGUGCAGGGAUGUCAAACUUGUGGCCCUCCAGCUGUUGCAAGACUACAACUUCCAUCAUGCCCACACAGCCUACAGCUUAUUGGGCAUAUUGGGAGUUAUGAUCUUCCAACUGUCCAUCACAGGGCAGCCAUAUUGGAGCCACAUACUUCCUUCCUGUGUAGACAGUGAGACAGGGUGUGUGCACUUUGUGGCAACUGCAAUGAAUGGAAGUUCGCGGUCAGAGAAAUGUCAGUGGACGGAGUCUCCGGGAAGUGAUGGUGUACGGCCCCUCCCCCACAGACCGGCUAACAGGAUAUACCGGCUCAUUUUUUUGUUCUGUCCACUAGGCCAGAGUGGG
Long non-coding RNA from Bufo bufo (common toad), 1064 nucleotides. RefSeq lists it as uncharacterized. The record is from RefSeq and is a predicted model, not a curated record. The transcript has 2 exons. NCBI's taxonomy places the organism in Eukaryota, Metazoa, Chordata, Amphibia, Anura, Bufonidae.